This 254-nucleotide ribosomal RNA is filed under the name uncultured bacterium. Its description in RNAcentral is "partial 16S ribosomal RNA". It matches the Rfam family "Bacterial small subunit ribosomal RNA", at positions 524 to 776 of the family's 1533-position model. The record is from RNAcentral.
UACGUAGGGUGCGAGCGUUGUCCGGAAUUAUUGGGCGUAAAGAGCCCGUAGGCGGUCUGUCGCGUCGAUCGUGAAAACUUGGGGCUUAACCCUGAGCUUGCGGUCGAUACGGGCAUGACUGGAGUUCGGCAGGGGAGACUGGAAUUCCUGGUGUAGCGGUGAAAUGCGCAGAUAUCAGGAGGAACACCGGUGGCGAAGGCGGGUCUCUGGGCCGAUACUGACGCUGAGGAGCGAAAGCGUGGGGAGCGAACAGG